RNAcentral lists this transfer RNA (75 nucleotides) under bovine gut metagenome. It matches the Rfam family "tRNA", at positions 7 to 62 of the family's 71-position model. From Rfam's summary of the family: Transfer RNA (tRNA) molecules are approximately 80 nucleotides in length. Their secondary structure includes four short double-helical elements and three loops (D, anti-codon, and T loops). The record is from RNAcentral.
GAAGAAUGGCCGAGUGGUUGAUGGCGCUGGUCUUGAAAACCAGAGACGUGAGAGCGUUCGGGGGUUCGAAUCCCU